GCCGACUUAGCUCAUCCGGUAGAGCAACGCACUCGUAACGCGUAGGUGAUUGGUUCAAGUCCGAUAGUCGGCUCAA
RNAcentral lists this transfer RNA (76 nucleotides) under Treponema saccharophilum DSM 2985. RNAcentral's name for it is "tRNA-Thr". It matches the Rfam family "tRNA". From Rfam's summary of the family: Transfer RNA (tRNA) molecules are approximately 80 nucleotides in length. Lineage: Bacteria; Pseudomonadati; Spirochaetota; Spirochaetia; Treponematales; Treponemataceae. The record is from RNAcentral.